GGGGCACUGCCUCGCUUUGGGACAACUCGGGGCCGCAUCGACGAAAAAUCCAAACAUGUCUUCUGAAGCUGACACUAAACACAUCAAGAACUAAGGCAAUGGAUGGAAACUAUCUGAAUUCAAAUCCCAGCUCAGGCUCUUACCACCUGGGUGACCUAAAGGUCCUGUGGUCACCUCAAUCUCUGUCAUCUAGAUCUUCAUGCCAGUGGAUACUACAGAAGCAUCCACAGAUUCAAUGAAACAGGGAUCAAAAAUAUUCAGAAAAAAAUACAAAUUAGCAACACAACAAUAAAAAUAACACAAAUAAAAAUGCAAUACAUUAUGACAACUAUAUGAAAAGGUUACAUGAGAAUAUUAAGGCCAUUUUACAUAACAGACUUGAGCUUCCACAGAUUUUGAUUUCCAUAAGGGUCCCUGAAUCAAU
Long non-coding RNA from Pongo pygmaeus (Bornean orangutan), 424 nucleotides. RefSeq lists it as uncharacterized. The transcript has 3 exons. NCBI's taxonomy places the organism in Eukaryota, Metazoa, Chordata, Mammalia, Primates, Hominidae. The record is from RefSeq and is a predicted model, not a curated record.